Brassica rapa (field mustard) is the source of this 748-nucleotide RNA transcript. RefSeq lists it as uncharacterized. Lineage: Eukaryota; Viridiplantae; Streptophyta; Magnoliopsida; Brassicales; Brassicaceae. The record is from RefSeq and is a predicted model, not a curated record.
CGCCAUUCUUGGUUUGUUCUUUUUUUUUUUCCUCACAAGAAAAUCUGUGGCGUCCUGUGACUUUUACAGAUUACGAGUUUUAACUCAUUUUUUUUUUCACAUCGUCCAGAACACGCAAAACCGCCCAGGUACACGCCAAUGGAAAGGCUGUUACAACAGGUGACAGUUGCGAGACAGUACUUGACCGAGGAGUAUGGCAAAGAUGUGUUUCCUCCAUUCUCGUUGAAAGAUUGUCUCAAAGGCGAAUGAUCGCAGGACAUACUCCGAAGUUUCCUAGGUGAAGGAUAAUGCUAAACAUUGUCAUGUAAAUACAGAAAGGCUUUUGCUUCUCAAUGUCAUCUCCAUUGUCUUCAACUCCAGCAAAGAUGAAUAAAAGGUUACUCAUACAUGGCUAGAGACGGUUUUGGUUUUUGGUGUGGCAGGAGAUCAAUUUUGUUGAAGACCAGUUCUGUUUGGUUCGGUUUUGUAGCAGAAGAUUGUAAUCCAUGUUCUUGGAAAACUCAUUUCUCUUUGUAAUGAUCGUUUAUGUAACACAUAACUUGAAGAUACUUUGCAGACUUAAGUCACUUAACAAGCUUCAAAUCCAAAACCAAGCGAGGGACGAUUCAAUAACAAACAUAACAAAAACCAAAGAAUUUGAAUAUGGUUAAUAAAAAGACUACAGACAAAGGCUUCACUAACAACUUCUAAAGGUGUCUUGUUUUUAACUCUUUUAAGAAUGUAAUAAAUCCCAUGAGCCUCUGAUCAG